This 2903-nucleotide ribosomal RNA is filed under the name Escherichia coli. RNAcentral's name for it is "23S ribosomal RNA". It matches the Rfam family "Bacterial large subunit ribosomal RNA". Lineage: Bacteria; Pseudomonadati; Pseudomonadota; Gammaproteobacteria; Enterobacterales; Enterobacteriaceae. The record is from RNAcentral.
GGUUAAGCGACUAAGCGUACACGGUGGAUGCCCUGGCAGUCAGAGGCGAUGAAGGACGUGCUAAUCUGCGAUAAGCGUCGGUAAGGUGAUAUGAACCGUUAUAACCGGCGAUUUCCGAAUGGGGAAACCCAGUGUGUUUCGACACACUAUCAUUAACUGAAUCCAUAGGUUAAUGAGGCGAACCGGGGGAACUGAAACAUCUAAGUACCCCGAGGAAAAGAAAUCAACCGAGAUUCCCCCAGUAGCGGCGAGCGAACGGGGAGCAGCCCAGAGCCUGAAUCAGUGUGUGUGUUAGUGGAAGCGUCUGGAAAGGCGCGCGAUACAGGGUGACAGCCCCGUACACAAAAAUGCACAUAUUGUGAGCUCGAUGAGUAGGGCGGGACACGUGGUAUCCUGUCUGAAUAUGGGGGGACCAUCCUCCAAGGCUAAAUACUCCUGACUGACCGAUAGUGAACCAGUACCGUGAGGGAAAGGCGAAAAGAACCCCGGCGAGGGGAGUGAAAAAGAACCUGAAACCGUGUACGUACAAGCAGUGGGAGCCUCUUUUAUGGGGUGACUGCGUACCUUUUGUAUAAUGGGUCAGCGACUUAUAUUCUGUAGCAAGGUUAACCGAAUAGGGGAGCCGAAGGGAAACCGAGUCUUAACUGGGCGUUAAGUUGCAGGGUAUAGACCCGAAACCCGGUGAUCUAGCCAUGGGCAGGUUGAAGGUUGGGUAACACUAACUGGAGGACCGAACCGACUAAUGUUGAAAAAUUAGCGGAUGACUUGUGGCUGGGGGUGAAAGGCCAAUCAAACCGGGAGAUAGCUGGUUCUCCCCGAAAGCUAUUUAGGUAGCGCCUCGUAAAUUCAUCUCCGGGGGUAGAGCACUGUUUCGGCAAGGGGGUCAUCCCGACUUACCAACCCGAUGCAAACUGCGAAUACCGGAGAAUGUUAUCACGGGAGACACACGGCGGGUGCUAACGUCCGUCGUGAAGAGGGAAACAACCCAGACCGCCAGCUAAGGUCCCAAAGUCAUGGUUAAGUGGGAAACGAUGUGGGAAGGCCCAGACAGCCAGGAUGUUGGCUUAGAAGCAGCCAUCAUUUAAAGAAAGCGUAAUAGCUCACUGGUCGAGUCGGCCUGCGCGGAAGAUGUAACGGGGCUAAACCAUGCACCGAAGCUGCGGCAGCGACACUAUGUGUUGUUGGGUAGGGGAGCGUUCUGUAAGCCUGUGAAGGUGUACUGUGAGGUAUGCUGGAGGUAUCAGAAGUGCGAAUGCUGACAUAAGUAACGAUAAAGCGGGUGAAAAGCCCGCUCGCCGGAAGACCAAGGGUUCCUGUCCAACGUUAAUCGGGGCAGGGUGAGUCGACCCCUAAGGCGAGGCCGAAAGGCGUAGUCGAUGGGAAACAGGUUAAUAUUCCUGUACUUGGUGUUACUGCGAAGGGGGGACGGAGAAGGCUAUGUUGGCCGGGCGACGGUUGUCCCGGUUUAAGCGUGUAGGCUGGUUUUCCAGGCAAAUCCGGAAAAUCAAGGCUGAGGCGUGAUGACGAGGCACUACGGUGCUGAAGCAACAAAUGCCCUGCUUCCAGGAAAAGCCUCUAAGCAUCAGGUAACAUCAAAUCGUACCCCAAACCGACACAGGUGGUCAGGUAGAGAAUACCAAGGCGCUUGAGAGAACUCGGGUGAAGGAACUAGGCAAAAUGGUGCCGUAACUUCGGGAGAAGGCACGCUGAUAUGUAGGUGAAGUCCCUCGCGGAUGGAGCUGAAAUCAGUCGAAGAUACCAGCUGGCUGCAACUGUUUAUUAAAAACACAGCACUGUGCAAACACGAAAGUGGACGUAUACGGUGUGACGCCUGCCCGGUGCCGGAAGGUUAAUUGAUGGGGUCAGCGCAAGCGAAGCUCUUGAUCGAAGCCCCGGUAAACGGCGGCCGUAACUAUAACGGUCCUAAGGUAGCGAAAUUCCUUGUCGGGUAAGUUCCGACCUGCACGAAUGGCGUAAUGAUGGCCAGGCUGUCUCCACCCGAGACUCAGUGAAAUUGAACUCGCUGUGAAGAUGCAGUGUACCCGCGGCAAGACGGAAAGACCCCGUGAACCUUUACUAUAGCUUGACACUGAACAUUGAGCCUUGAUGUGUAGGAUAGGUGGGAGGCUUUGAAGUGUGGACGCCAGUCUGCAUGGAGCCGACCUUGAAAUACCACCCUUUAAUGUUUGAUGUUCUAACGUGGACCCGUGAUCCGGGUUGCGGACAGUGUCUGGUGGGUAGUUUGACUGGGGCGGUCUCCUCCUAAAGAGUAACGGAGGAGCACGAAGGUUGGCUAAUCCUGGUCGGACAUCAGGAGGUUAGUGCAAUGGCAUAAGCCAGCUUGACUGCGAGCGUGACGGCGCGAGCAGGUGCGAAAGCAGGUCAUAGUGAUCCGGUGGUUCUGAAUGGAAGGGCCAUCGCUCAACGGAUAAAAGGUACUCCGGGGAUAACAGGCUGAUACCGCCCAAGAGUUCAUAUCGACGGCGGUGUUUGGCACCUCGAUGUCGGCUCAUCACAUCCUGGGGCUGAAGUAGGUCCCAAGGGUAUGGCUGUUCGCCAUUUAAAGUGGUACGCGAGCUGGGUUUAGAACGUCGUGAGACAGUUCGGUCCCUAUCUGCCGUGGGCGCUGGAGAACUGAGGGGGGCUGCUCCUAGUACGAGAGGACCGGAGUGGACGCAUCACUGGUGUUCGGGUUGUCAUGCCAAUGGCACUGCCCGGUAGCUAAAUGCGGAAGAGAUAAGUGCUGAAAGCAUCUAAGCACGAAACUUGCCCCGAGAUGAGUUCUCCCUGAGACUAUAAGUCUCCUGAAGGAACGUUGAAGACGACGACGUUGAUAGGCCGGGUGUGUAAGCGCAGCGAUGCGUUGAGCUAACCGGUACUAAUGAACCGUGAGGCUUAACCUU